GAGGGUGUAGCUCAGUGGUAGAGUGCGUGCUUAGCAGGCAUGAGGUCCUGGGUUCAAUCCCCAGUACUUCCA
This 72-nucleotide transfer RNA is filed under the name Camelus bactrianus (Bactrian camel). It matches the Rfam family "tRNA". Rfam says of the family: Transfer RNA (tRNA) molecules are approximately 80 nucleotides in length. Their secondary structure includes four short double-helical elements and three loops (D, anti-codon, and T loops). Further hydrogen bonds mediate the characteristic L-shaped molecular structure. tRNAs have two regions of fundamental functional importance: the anti-codon, which is responsible for specific mRNA codon recognition, and the 3' end, to which the tRNAs corresponding amino acid is attached (by aminoacyl-tRNA synthetases). tRNAs cope with the degeneracy of the genetic code in two manners: having more than one tRNA (with a specific anti-codon) for a particular amino acid; and 'wobble' base-pairing, i.e. permitting non-standard base-pairing at the 3rd anti-codon position. RNAcentral also lists the same sequence under 2 other names. Lineage: Eukaryota; Metazoa; Chordata; Mammalia; Artiodactyla; Camelidae. The record is from Rfam by way of RNAcentral.